Molecule: ribosomal RNA, 218 nt
Filed under: uncultured bacterium
Lineage: Bacteria
Description: partial 16S ribosomal RNA
Rfam family: Bacterial small subunit ribosomal RNA
Source: RNAcentral
CGUGAGGAACCUACCUUCAAGUGGGGAAUAACUGCCAGAAAUGGCAGCUAAUACCGCAUGUGGCUGUUCCCUGGCAUCUGGGAACAACUAAAGAUUUAUCGCUUGGAGACGGCCUCGCGGCCUAUUAGCUAGUUGGUGGGGUAAUGGCCUACCAAGGCGAUGAUGGGUAGCUGGUCUGAGAGGACGAUCAGCCACACUGGGACUGAGACACGGCCCAG